Solanum pennellii is the source of this 5473-nucleotide long non-coding RNA. RefSeq lists it as uncharacterized. Lineage: Eukaryota; Viridiplantae; Streptophyta; Magnoliopsida; Solanales; Solanaceae. The transcript is spliced from 8 exons. The record is from RefSeq and is a predicted model, not a curated record.
GGGUCGGUUCAUAUAAGUACGCCACCCUUCAACGCCCUUUCUUGCUGCAAAUAUUUGGGUUUUUAGGGUUCUUACAGUUUCUUGAUUUUGUAUUCAUUGAUUGAAGAAUCACGAUGUUUUUAUCCCAUCGGCAUCGAAGCCCAGGCUAUGGGGGACUUCUUGGUCAGGUGAUUGUUACAGGUUCUGCAUAAGGACUUGGUCCUUCUCUCAGGCCUGUCAUCAGUCACUUGCAAGUAGGUGUCUGUGAACAUGUGUUCCGCUUUGGAAUAAAAGAAAUGAAAUUUGGGUUUUACUGACUCCUACUUAAGCAAAUAACAAAUACAUCACUCUUCAAAUACACCAGCUUUUGAUGUUUUUUUUGCAUGGAAAGCAAGUGCAAAUGGAAAUCAUCUGUAGAGCUAACUUUUGGACCUUCAGAUUGCAGUACAAAAGUAUAUAGAAUUUCCGUGUGAUGACUCAAUCAUCGUGUGAAAAUAUGUGCUUGAGGUGGUGACAUUUGGCGGUUAACGGCUCAACAAUCAGUGGUUUUCAAGAAGCAAUUCAUCAUACCUCGAUCUAAUCAGAGGCUAGAGAAAUGCGUUGGUUUAGGGAGCAUGGCAGGAAGUGUUGCAGGUGUGUCUCAUUGCAUCCUGCUGUUUUUUGGACUGCUAUUGGAGUGCACUGCUAAUGAAUUCGUCUCUUUAUCAAUUAUUUUGAAGAGGUUACUAUGUUGAGCAGAAAGACAUUGUCCAAGUCACCAUAUUUUCCAGUAAAAGUUUAGCGUCCGCCGAAGAUUGGCGAAAGGCUCUUGACAAGGUGGUUCCCGCCGUCGUUGUUCUCUAGACCAAUGCUUGCCAAGCAUUUGACACUGAGUCUGCUGGUGCAUGUUAUGUUACGGGCUUCGUCGAUUUUCUCUAUGAUGCAUAUGUAAUAUACGGAGGAAGAAGCAAAGAGAAAGGAGGAACCCCGAUGAUAUAUAUCUCAAUAUACAGACAUCCUGUAGCCAUAACCUACGUUUGAAGUGCUUCCAAAAAUGGAUUGGACAAGGCAUGGAUACAAGAGUCAAAUGCCGCAGUCAAAUUAGUCGCCAAAUGAUUAAUCAAUCAACCACAAAUAGACUCGGCACUGGUGACUGCAUAAAAGUGAUGCUCCUACAAGGCCUGCCUUAAGUAGCAUGUCCUCAGGCCAAUAUUGGCGGAGAAUGAUCUGGAGAGAAAUCAAGGUGUUUUUGUUGUAGAAGUUGUUGACAGGCAAUGGGGUGUGCAUUGGACCCAUGUUGCUGGAAUUGCAGGACAAGCAAUCUAUGGUGCUCUCAGGUGGUUAUGAAGAUGAUGAGGAUCAUGGAGAAUGGUUUCUCUACAGAGGGAAAACAUCCUGUGGCCAUAACUUACGUUUGAAGUGCUUCCAAAAAUGGAUUGGACAAGGCAAGGAUACAAGAGUCGAAUGCCGCAGUCAAAUUAGUCGCCAAAAUGAUUAAUCAAUCAACCACAAUAGACUCUGCACUGGUGACUGCAUAAAAAUGAUGCUUCUACAAGGCCUCAAGUAGCAUGUCCUAAGGUGAAUCAAGAAGAUCACCCUGACAACCCGUUUAUUAGGGAAGGAGCAGCUAUAUAAAAGAGAUGGAAUAGAUAUUGCAUCAAGCAGGAGGAUAUUUGUGACACUGAGCCCAAUAUUUUAACAGAAAAAAUUUGAUUCUUGGAUACACCUUGUAUACUGGUGAAUCAAGUAGAUCACCUUGAUAACUCGUUUAUUAGGGAAGGAGGGGCUAUAUAAAAGAGCUGGAACGGUUAAUGCAUCAAACUGGAGGAUAUUCCUGACCACCUCUUCGGAUCAUUUCGGGCCAAUAUUGACGGAGAAUGAUCUGGAGAGAAAUCAAGGUGUUUUUGUUGGAGAAUUGUGGACACAUCACUUGAAUUGCUGACAAUGGGGUGUGCAUUGGCCCCACGUUGCUUGAGUUGCAGGACAAGCAAUCUAGGGUGCUCUCAGGUGGUUAUGAAGAUGAUGAGGAUCAUGGAGAAUGGUUUCUCUACAGAGGAAAGUACAUGUUAAUUAUCCCUUCACAGAUGAAUUUUCAAUAUUUCUGGUUAGUUUUGAAGGUACUACUUCAUAUUCGAGGCAUGUACGUAUAGGCUGAUUGAUAAUAUUUUAUACUUGAGAGUUUUUCUUUAUCAGAUAUCUACAGAUAGACAUUUAUAUAAAAUACGAACAGUAACUUAGAAAAAAGUAGAUUAUCUGCUACAGCAUACAUACAAAAAAACAUGGAUUUAGUGUAAAGUUCUUUACCCUAUAGUACAUACACAAGUUAAUUCCCUUUUGUAAGAAUUAAUGUUAAUUAGCACUAGAAUGGUUUGCUUCACAAGGUCUAAUUCCGUGACGUUCAAUUGUUAGAUUUUUGGUAACUUCAGGAAGUUUACAAUAUUUAUGGUUUUGAUUUCUACAUCAGAACACUUACCUAGUUUAACUCUUACGGAUCUUUCUAGUGGUUACGUAUAUAUACACCUAGUUAAUUACAUUUGACGAAGUUUAAUUUCUAUACCUUGACAUCUUUUAAAGAGUUGUAUAUUAUUCUACCUAGUUGACAAAAUCAGUGGACACAGUACAAUGAAUCAGUGGACACAGUACAAUGAAAUGGUCAGAUUUAAAAGGAGAUAGGAAAAGAAAUAAGGAGGUAAAGAAGGUACCUGUGGUUGCACUGGGAACUCCCGGCUGCUACCUCCAUGAACUCCACUCACUAGUAGAUAAUACAUUACCUCCUAAGCGAGAACAAGGAAAAUAUCAGUGGCAAUAAAUGAACAAAUCUGAGUGAGAUAGAGAGAACAAAAAAGAAAUACCUAUCAAUAGUGAAUGUUCUUGUGUGAGCUCUGAUAUGCAGAGAAGGAGACAAACAAGAUGGAAAUAAACCUAGAUUAGGAAUCAAAGUGUGAGGUUUCAGUGGCUGCAGGGGGAAGCAUCUGAAAGGCUAAGUUGAAAAAGGAAAGAGCGGAACAAGCGAAAGUUAUUAGGUUUCCUCUGUUAUAGAUAGAGGGUUGGGUUUGGGUUGGGCCGUAUUUUCUUCAUCACAAACACCGUUGAUAUACAGCUUAACCCAAACCAAACCCUCUUAUCUAUAAUAAAGAUAGGAAACCAAAUAACUUCCGCCUCUUCUGCUCUUUCCCUUUUCAGCUUAGCCUUUCAGAUGCUUCCCUUCGACAUUCAUCGAAACCUCACACUUUGGUUCUUCAGCUGGGUUUGUUUCCAUCUUUCUCCGUAUGUCACAACUCACAUGGGAGCAUUCACUACUGAGAUGUAUUUCUUUUUUGUUCUCUUUAUCUUAGUUUUUUUUUUCAUUUCUUGCCAUUGAUAAUUUCUUUUUUCCUCCUUAGGAGGUAAUGUGUUGUCCACCAGUGUGUGGAGUUCGUGGAGGUACUGUCAGGAGUUCGCAGUGCGACCACAUGUACUUCCUUGAUCUCUCUAUUUCUUUUCCUUUCUCCUUUUAGAUGACCCUUCUUUGUAUUAUGUCAACUAGGUAGAAUAAUUUACAGGUCUUCAAGGUAUAAAAAUUAAAUUCCGUCAAAUAUAAUUAACUAGGUGUGUAUGUACAUAACUACUAGGAAGAUUUCUAAGAGUUAAACUAGAUAAGUUGUUUUGAUGUAGAAGUCAAAAACCAUAAACACUGCAAACUUAUUUUAGUAACCAAAAAUCUUACAAUGAGGAAGAGAAUAUACACCAAUAAGAACCAACCCUUCAUGUUGAACAUGUCCUUAUUUUGCAUCCCAAAAGCCAUGGAAUGCCAACUAUAUCACGGAGUGCACCAAAAUAAAUAUAGGCAAUAGUUCUAUUUGGACAGUUGAAGAUGAAUAAUGUGUUUACUGGGACUCGUCCUGCAAACGCGCUUGGGAAACUGAGGUUACUCUCUACUGAAAUCAUCCAAGGGAAGAGAAAGAAUUACUUCCGAUUAAAAAAGAACGUUUUAGGAUCAUUUUACUAUUGGGUCAGAAGUUGAUUUGUAGUGCUACUUUCUGUUUUUGAAACCAAUUAGAUAUAGUGUCCUUGCUACGCAGAACUAAUUUAUCUGUGAGAAUCUUCGUAUUACAUAAGAUGCUGUUGGUGCUUAAUGCGAGAAUUCUUGGUUACAUGAUUGCUACAGGUUCUGGAAUAAUGUUUUUGUUCAGGCAUUUCAUCAGGUACUUGCAACUUGCAAGUAAAUGCUUGUGGACAUUUUGAGGUGUUUUUGAACGGAAAACAAAUGAAAAUGGAAAUCAUCUGCCGGAACAAGCUUUUGGACCUUCAAUUUGCAGUACUAAGCAUAUGUAAUUUUUGUAUGAUGACUUAGUUACACGGUGAUUCUAUGUGCUUCAAGCGGUGACAGCUUUAUUACAUGCGCCUUCAAAUGUGUGAUUUAUUAUGUAGAUGUCUUUGAUUAAUGGCAGAUGGCUCAACAAUCAGUGCUGCUCAAGAAGCAAUUCACAAUAUCACUGAUCAAGCAAUACCAUAACCGAACCAGAGGCUAGGGAAAUUCUUGGUUCACAGAGUCUUCGCCAUUGCAUCCUGCUGUUUUUGGACUGGUAUUGGAGUGCAUCGCUCAUGAAUUCGUCUCUUUAUCAAUUUUUUUGAUGAGGUAAUAUUACCUCAUUUAAGGGAAAUGCAAAGACUUGGGAGUUCUCAUCUUCAAAUGAAGGUUUACAAAAGCAAGGGAACUUUAGAAGCACUUUCCCAGAGCAAAUUAAGCACUGCAUCUGAGUUUUUUGUAAAGUUGUGCUUCUGCUAGAGAUUUCCUGGUAUUUUAAGGGGAAUAUGUUGAGCAGAAAAGCGUAUUUUUCCUGUAUAAGUUUCCGUAUAUAUCUAAACCUCAAGCAGAAGCAUUUUAGUUAAUGAUUUAUGUAAUUUUCAUCACGUUUGGCGUCCUUUUGCUCAAACCCGCUCUUCCCAUCAUUGUUUCAGGCACAUUUGGCUAUUGAAAUCUAGUGAGUUGUGUUGAAGCAGUGCCCCUGAUAUGGUGAAAUGGAUGAUAACAAAGCAAUGAACGGCGAGGGCACUGAGUAAAAAGUAAUGUCUCUUGGUAAUUCGUCAUUGAAAGUCUCUUGUUCAAGUCCAUCAGGAAUGAUGAGAGGAGAGAGGGAGAAGCAGAGCUCGAGGAAUAAGCCUACAUCCGUGUAAGGCAUAUAGUGGUAAAACUUACUCGAGUGUUUACCCCGAUUCAGUACUCCUUAUGGUAAGUCUUACCACGAAGCAUUUUGUUGCACUUCAAUCAUUCUCUUGAAGAGGCAUGUUUACCUAUGAGGAUGAUGAAAAAAGCAGUGGUUAGGUUUUUAGGUAGAUAGAUAUGUAGUGCAGUAAAGUUUGACAAUAUUGUAUUGGAUAAGGGAUAUGAUUGACUGUCAAGUUUGAAAUAUUGAACCUUACAUUAAUCUUUAGAGGAAAGAAGAAGUCUACCUUAUGCAGAAUCUCUCUUAUCUGCUAGUAGUAGCAGGGACUCUUUAUGUAUUUUCAAGAAAGCAACUACGUUACUUGACUA